Non-coding RNA from Clupea harengus (Atlantic herring), 648 nucleotides. Lineage: Eukaryota; Metazoa; Chordata; Actinopteri; Clupeiformes; Clupeidae. The record is from the annotation of a RefSeq genome assembly.
GAAAUCACAUUGUUCAUAAUUCACAUUAGAUAUCAUGUUCAUAUUCAUGCUUCAGAAUUAUUCUACUAUGUUUCCUGGUGAAUAACUAAGGGCUUUAUUUCUACAGGCUGAAAAUGCUGCAGGGAGGGUCAUCUGCAGUGUGACAUAGAGGACUCCUCAAAGCAGGAACUCCUUCAGUGAGGUCUACACAGCUACACACAGUAGCAGCUUAGAGGACUGUGAGCAACAACACUGAAUACUAUAGAUUCCUCAUGGAGAAACCACUAUUACUGAUCCUCAUUAUGACAACAGGUGUAACUGCUGACCAAGUCUCUCCUGAGCAGAAGGGCGUCACUCAGAGUGAAGAGGAAUCUGUAACCCUCAAAUGCUCGUAUGUGACGAGCAGCAACGAUGUUCUACUUUACUGGUACAGGCAGUGUCCUGGACAGGCACCUCAGUAUUUGUUAAGGAAAGGUGCAAGAAGUAAUAGUGGUAGUUAUGAACACAGCUCUGAUCCAAGAUUUGAUUCCACAACAUCACAGACAUCCACUGAGCUCCAUAUUAAAGUCCUGACUCUGGCAGACACAGCUCUCUACUACUGUGCUCUGUUGGUAGCACAGUGAUACAAAGUCUCUGAAAUGCUGUACAAAAACUCAGAGGCAAACAGAC